Physcomitrium patens is the source of this 2482-nucleotide non-coding RNA. NCBI's taxonomy places the organism in Eukaryota, Viridiplantae, Streptophyta, Bryopsida, Funariales, Funariaceae. The record is from RefSeq and is a predicted model, not a curated record.
UCCUAUAUGAGCCUUUGGCUUCAUUGCAUCCGCACCAGUUUUUGCUACUUACAAUCUUUUGCGAUUUGUAUCCCAGCUUCCUACCGCUCUCGAUCUGAUACUCUCGCAUUUUCAGCUACAUUUUCAUCUAAUUCUUGCCGAUAUUUUUUUUGUUGUUUUGGGUUUUUUGUGAAGUUGUUUGAAAUCUGUUACCGGUGGACUUUUGGAUUAUUUGCGAAGCUCUCGAGUUUUAGAGUACUUGUUAGUUUUUGUGCACUGGGAGGGUCUGGUAAGGGCCCUUCUAGUAGCGGCGGUCACGAUGCAGACCAUGGCGAAGGCCUUCCUGACGCCGACUAAGACGAAGAGUUUGAAGUGCGGUAAGUUGGAGAGUUUGCCGUUGAGGGAGACUGUUAGCCCUAUUCAGCUGAAGAGGAAGACGCCAAAGGCCAAGACUCCUGGCAGAGCGACCGACCGCUUCAUCGCUGAUCGCAGUGCCAUGGAUUUCAAUGUCGCUAAUCUUAUGCUGACUAGAGAGAAUUCGUCCGUGGAUGUCAUAUCUCCUUCCAAGGAUGAGUAUAAGAAGCAGUUGGCCGAGAGCCUUUUGAACAAUAAUGGACAAAAGCAGAGCCGCAUCUUAGCGUUCAAGAGCAAACCUCCUCCUCCGCCUGAAGGAUUCCAAAACGGCCGUCAAACUCUUUACUCUCAAAAUGUGUCCGCACAGUCUAAGCCCAAAAAGAUGUUCCGCCACAUUCCGCAGGCAGCUGAGAGAACCCUAGAUGCACCUGACAUGCUUGAUGACUACUACCUUAAUCUAUUGGACUGGAGCUCCGGGAAUGUUUUAGCUGUGGCUUUGGGUAUGACAGUGUACUUAUGGGAUGCCACCACUAGCUCCAUCGAGGAAUUGAUGACAGUAGACGAGGAAGGCCCAAUCACCAGCGUGUCUUGGGCUCCUGACGGUCAGUAUCUGGCUGUAGGAUUGAACAACUCAUCUGUCCAGCUGUGGGAUUCAACAACACUACGUCAGUUGCGGACAUUGAGGGGUCACUCGGCGCGCGUGAGUGCCCUUGCCUGGAACGGUCCCACGCUUGCCACCGGAGGACGCGACAAUAUGAUCCUGAACCAUGACGUGAGGAUCAGGGAAAACGUCAUCGGAUGCAUGGCGGCCCACGAGCAAGAGGUAUGUGGGUUGAAGUGGUCGCCCUCCGGACAGCAGCUAGCCAGCGGUGGCAAUGACAACUUGCUGCACAUAUGGGAUGCGUCUGCAGCUUCAUCUUUGUCAGCCAGCCCACUUCACAGCCUUGAUGAGCACCAGGCUGCCGUGAAAGCCUUGGCAUGGUGUCCGUUCCAAAGCAACCUGCUGGCGUCAGGUGGAGGGACCGCGGAUCGAUGCAUCAAGUUUUGGAAUACGCAUACUGGGGCAUGUGUGAACAGCAUUGACACUCAAUCACAGGUGUGUGCACUCCAGUGGAGCAAGCACGAGAAGGAGAUACUGAGCUCCCAUGGGUUCAGCCAGAAUCAAUUGUGCCUGUGGAAGUAUCCAUCGAUGGUCAAGAUGGCUGAAUUCACAGGGCACACAUCCAGGGUGUUACACCUAGCACAGAGUCCCGAUGGAUACACUGUGGCAUCCGCUGCCGGCGACGAGACUUUGAGAUUUUGGAAUGUGUUCGGAACACCUGAGGCCAAAUUAGUGAACCAGGCAAAGAAAACGAGAGAGGUGGAGAGUGCGUUGACAUCCUUGACUAGGAUUCGUUAGGCGGAGAUCCGACGUUAUAUCUCCAGAGUAGGUGAAGCACAGUUGUCAUCAGCAGAUCCAGCUGCCGUACUGCGAGCUGCACCUUAGGCAAUGGCAAUAUUUUUUACUUGGUCGACAGUUCGCGCAAAUCGGCCCAGAGAAGGAGCGUGCAGAGAUGAACUCUAGAACGGACAAGACAAUCAAGACUUUUCCCAUACGGCGGCGAAUUAUUCUGCAGCCUGUACAAUGAUACCCCAGGUAGGAGGGAGUGGAAAACACCGUCGAACGCAGCAAGUUUCUUCAUCCAUAUUUGAGGCAGGAUUUCUCUCUCAAUUUACACUUCUAGAAACUGCAAGAUGGUUGCGAGCCGCGCAUUGCUAUUGUCAGCCAAUACGGAAAUGAGAAUCGUAAAUCUCUGAGAUUUUGCCACGCGAUGAAGGUGGCUUCUGAACCAACAUUCUAGGUCCUGAUAAAUGACGAAAGCGACCCCUUCAUAUCGGGUAAAAAUUCUCAUGGGUACUGCUGUACUCUCGCUUCCUCGGAUUUGGUAAAUCUGUGCCACAGGCGUAAUGCAAAUUAAUAGCAACAGGAAGUUCAUCGUGCGACAGCCCAGUUUAAUUGGUGUCCAGCGACGAAUAGCUGACCAAGCCUGUUGAACGAGAAGAAUCAUGUUGGGAAUCGUUAGUGGUAGGAGAGGAUUUGAAAUCCCUCGAUAUGUAAUCGCCCGAAGUUUUUCGGCAUGUGCAUAAUGUAGUUGAUGAUAAGUUAACA